RNAcentral lists this long non-coding RNA (1115 nucleotides) under Marmota monax (woodchuck). Lineage: Eukaryota; Metazoa; Chordata; Mammalia; Rodentia; Sciuridae. The record is from RNAcentral.
UGGUUUUGUUGCCAAGUAAAGGUGUACAUCUAGUCCUAAAGAUAUGAUGACUCAAUUAAAAGCUGUUUGUCAUAGUUUUUGUUUUUAACCUUGUGGUCUCUUACCAGUCCACACUGCCUAUAGGGCCCUAUGACUUAAUUUAAAAAUAAAUGUCUAUGAGCUGGGCACCAUGGUGCACAUCUGUAAUCCUAGCCUCUCGGGAGGCUAACACAAGAGAAUUGAGAGUUCAAGCCAGCCUCAGCAAUGGUGAGGCACUAAGCAACUCAGCGAGACCCUGUCUCUAAAUAAAAUACAAAAUAGGGCUGGGGAUAUGGCUCAGUGGCCAAGUGCUCCUGAGUUCAGUCCCCAGAACCCCCCCGCAAUGUCUUAAAGAGCUGAAAAGCACACUUGUAUUACAUUGAAUUUUUUAAAAAUAUUUUUAGUUGUAGUUGACACAAUACCUUUAUUUUAUUUAUUUAUAUGUGGUGCUGAGGAUCGAACCUAGCACCUCUCAUGUGCCAUACGAGCGCUCUACUGCUGAGCCACAACCCCAGCCACCCCCAUUGUAUUUUUUGAGGCCAACUACAUUGUUUUUUCAGAAUGCAAACAUUAAAAUAAACUAACUUUUAGGAUCUCCUUUCUUUCUUUUCUCUUUUGGGACUGAACCCAGGGGUUUUAUCCCCAGUCCUUUAAAAAAAAGUAUAUUUUGAGAUAGGUCUCACUAAAUUGCUGAGGGUGGUCUCAAACUUGGGAUCCUCCUGCCUUGGCCUCCUGAAUUGAUGGGAUAAUAGGCAUGUGCCUUAUGCCUACCUCCUAUUAUUUCUUAAUAUCAUAAUAUAGUAGGAACCUCAGUAUAGAUUUGAUCUGAAUGAGUAUGGCUAGGCCUCCUUGGUCCCAGAAGCCUGAGCCUAGACUCCUGGAACCUGACCUUCAAUCUAGCUUCUAUUACUCUGGCUCCAGGUCCAAUGAGCUGAUUCCCCAGCAGUCAGUGGGCUCCUGCCCUGACCUGGUAUCAAGCUCCCUCUAAGACCUUUCAGUUUCUUUCUGAAGCUGUUGGAUACAGUCUAUGACUUCAUCAGGGCUGCCAGGCAGAGCAUAGCAGCCCCCACUUGGCAAUACUCCAGACUCACCUGUCC